GAAAAGAAACUACAAGGAUUCCCCUAGUAACUGCGAGUGAAGCGGGAAGAGCUCAAAUUUGAAAUCUGGCGGCUCUUUGACCGUCCGAGUUGUAAUCUAGAGAAGUGCUACCCGUGCUGGACUGUGUACAAGUCUCCUGGAAUGGGGCAUCGUAGAGGGUGAGAAUCCCGUCUUUGACACGGACUGCCAGUGCGCCCUGGGUGUGCUCUCGAAGAGUCGAGUUGUUUGGGAAUGCAGCUCAAAAUGGGUGGUAAAUGCCAUCUAAAGCUAAAUAUUGGCGAGAGACCGAUAGCGAACAAGUACCGUGAGGGAAAGAUGAAAAGAACUUUGGAAAGAGAGUUAAACAGUACGUGAAAUUGCUGAAAGGGAAACGCUUGGAGUCAGUCGCGUUGGCCAGAAAUCAGCCUUGCUCCUGCUUGGUGUACUUUCUGGUCUUUUACGGGUCAGCAUCAAUCUUGACCGCCGGACAAAGUCUUUGGGAAUGUGGCAUCUUUUGGAUGUGUUAUAGCCCAGGGUCGCAUACGGCGGCUGGGAUUGAGGAACUCAGCACGCCCGCAAGGGAUGGGUCCUUGGACCACAAAUUUUUUUCG
RNAcentral lists this ribosomal RNA (590 nucleotides) under Inocybe praetervisa. RNAcentral describes it as "eukaryotic LSU rRNA". It matches the Rfam family "Eukaryotic large subunit ribosomal RNA", at positions 56 to 616 of the family's 3401-position model. The record is from RNAcentral. Lineage: Eukaryota; Fungi; Basidiomycota; Agaricomycetes; Agaricales; Inocybaceae.